Molecule: transfer RNA, 72 nt
Filed under: Pangasianodon hypophthalmus (striped catfish)
Lineage: Eukaryota; Metazoa; Chordata; Actinopteri; Siluriformes; Pangasiidae
Description: tRNA-Glu
Source: RNAcentral
UCCCUGGAGGACUAGUGGUUAGGGCUCAGAGCUCUCACUGCCGCGGACUGCGUUCGAUUCCCAGCCAGGCAA